Molecule: transfer RNA, 96 nt
Filed under: Actinocatenispora thailandica
Lineage: Bacteria; Bacillati; Actinomycetota; Actinomycetes; Micromonosporales; Micromonosporaceae
Description: tRNA-Arg
Source: RNAcentral
GGCCUGGUACCGGGCCGGCACCGGACCGUCGCCGCGGUCGACGGGGUGAGCCUGGACGUGCGCCGCGGUGAGGUGCUCGGCGUCGUCGGCGAGUCC